RNAcentral lists this ribosomal RNA (502 nucleotides) under uncultured Streptococcus sp. RNAcentral describes it as "partial 16S ribosomal RNA". The record is from RNAcentral. Lineage: Bacteria; Bacillati; Bacillota; Bacilli; Lactobacillales; Streptococcaceae.
CACGUAGUUAGCCGUCCCUUUCUGGUAAGAUACCGUCACAGUGUGAACUUUCCACUCUCACACUCGUUCUUCUCUUACAACAGAGCUUUUACGAUCCGAAAACCUUCUUCACUCACGCGGCGUUGCUCGGUCAGACUUCCGUCCAUUGCCGAAGAUUCCCUACUGCCUGCCUCCCGUAGGAGUCUGGGCCGUGUCUCAGUCCCAGUGUGGCCGAUACACCCCUCUCAGGUCGGCUAUGUAUCGUCGCCCUGGUGUAGCCGUUACCCCACCAACCUAGCUAAUACAACGCAGGUCCAUCUGGUAGUGAUGCAAUUGCACCUUUUAAGCAAAUGUCAUGCAACAUCUACUGUUACUGCGGUAUUAGCUAUCGUUUCCAAUAGUUAUCCCCGCUACCAGGCAGGUUACCUACGCGUUACUCACCCGUUCGCAACUCAUCCGGAGAAGCAAGCUCCUCCUUCAGCGUUCUACUUGCAUCGUAUUAGGCAACGCCGCCAGCGUUCGU